Molecule: long non-coding RNA, 377 nt
Organism: Humulus lupulus (European hop)
Lineage: Eukaryota; Viridiplantae; Streptophyta; Magnoliopsida; Rosales; Cannabaceae
Exons: 4
Source: RefSeq, a predicted model, not a curated record
UCCGGAUAAGAUUUUGCGCCAAAUUUAUGUUAAUCUUGCAAAUUUGCAGAGGGAAGGAGAUAAGUUUGCCACUCAUAUCCAGGAGAACUUGAGAUUAAUUGUUGCAGGUGGUGAUGGAACCGCAGGGUGGCUUCUUGGAGUUGUUUCUGAUCUCAAGUUAUCUCAUCCACCAGCAAUUGCAACAGUGCCCUUAGGAACAUGAAACAAUCUUCCAUUUUCAUUUGGCUGGGGGAAGAAAAAUCCUGGGACAGAUGAAAAUGCGGUAAAGUCAUUUUUGCGUCAAGUAAUGGAUGCUAAGGAAAUGAAAAUCGACAGCUGGCAUAUUAUGAUGAGGAUGCGGGCUCCAAAAGAAGGUCCAUGUGACCAUAUUGCUCCUC